This 104-nucleotide small nucleolar RNA is filed under the name Propithecus coquereli (Coquerel's sifaka). RNAcentral's name for it is "Small nucleolar RNA U13 (ENSPCOG00000011408.1)". It matches the Rfam family "Small nucleolar RNA U13". Lineage: Eukaryota; Metazoa; Chordata; Mammalia; Primates; Indriidae. The record is from Rfam by way of RNAcentral.
AUCCUUUUGUAGUUCAUAAGUGUGACGAUUGGGUUUUCACAACCAUGCGUGAGAUGUGCCUCCCUCAAACCCUGUUACGAUGUCAGCUCAUUACCUAUCUGACA